RNAcentral lists this ribosomal RNA (806 nucleotides) under uncultured Chromatiales bacterium. Its description in RNAcentral is "bacterial SSU rRNA". It matches the Rfam family "Bacterial small subunit ribosomal RNA", at positions 8 to 796 of the family's 1533-position model. The record is from RNAcentral. Lineage: Bacteria; Pseudomonadati; Pseudomonadota; Gammaproteobacteria; Chromatiales.
AGAGUUUGAUCCUGGCUCAGAUUGAACGCUGGCGGCAUGCCUAACACAUGCAAGUCGAACGGUAACAGGCCGCAAGGUGCUGACGAGUGGCGGACGGGUGAGUAAUACGUAGGUAUCUGCCCUGUAGUGGGGGAUAACCCGGGGAAACUCGGGCUAAUACCGCAUACGCUCUUUUAUCGUUGAGAUAGGAGAGGAAAGCGAGGGACCGAAAGGCCUCGCGCUAGAGGAUGAGCCUACGCCCGAUUAGCUAGUUGGUAGGGUAAAAGCCUACCAAGGCGACGAUCGGUAGCUGGUCUGAGAGGAUGGCCAGCCACACUGGGACUGAGACACGGCCCAGACUCCUACGGGAGGCAGCAGUGGGGAAUAUUGGACAAUGGGGGAAACCCUGAUCCAGCGAUGCCGCGUGGGUGAAGAAGGCCUGCGGGUUGUAAAGCCCUUUCAGUGGGGAAGAAAAACGGGGUGUGAAAAGCGCUUCGUCUUGACGUUACCCACAGAAGAAGCACCGGCUAACUCCGUGCCAGCAGCCGCGGUAAUACGGAGGGUGCGAGCGUUAAUCGGAAUUACUGGGCGUAAAGGGCGCGUAGGCGGUUAGGUAAGUUGAGUGUGAAAGCCCUGGGCUUAACCUGGGAAUGGCAUUCGAGACUACCUAUCUAGAGUCUGGUAGAGGGAAGUGGAAUUUCCGGUGUAGCGGUGAAAUGUGUAGAUAUCGGAAGGAACACCAGUGGCGAAGGCGACUUCCUGGACCAAGACUGACGCUGAGGCGCGAAAGCGUGGGGAUCAAACAGGAUUAGAUACCCCCGUAGUCC